Molecule: ribosomal RNA, 909 nt
Filed under: Curtobacterium sp.
Lineage: Bacteria; Bacillati; Actinomycetota; Actinomycetes; Micrococcales; Microbacteriaceae
Description: bacterial SSU rRNA
Rfam family: Bacterial small subunit ribosomal RNA
Source: RNAcentral
AUAUUGGGCGUAAGAGCUCGUAGGCGGUUUGUCGCGUCUGCUGUGAAAUCCCGAGGCUCAACCUCGGGCUUGCAGUGGGUACGGGCAGACUAGAGUGCGGUAGGGGAGAUUGGAAUUCCUGGUGUAGCGGUGGAAUGCGCAGAUAUCAGGAGGAACACCGAUGGCGAAGGCAGAUCUCUGGGCCGUAACUGACGCUGAGGAGCGAAAGCAUGGGGAGCGAACAGGAUUAGAUACCCUGGUAGUCCAUGCCGUAAACGUUGGGCGCUAGAUGUAGGGACCUUUCCACGGUUUCUGUGUCGUAGCUAACGCAUUAAGCGCCCCGCCUGGGGAGUACGGCCGCAAGGCUAAAACUCAAAGGAAUUGACGGGGGCCCGCACAAGCGGCGGAGCAUGCGGAUUAAUUCGAUGCAACGCGAAGAACCUUACCAAGGCUUGACAUACACCGGAAACGGCCAGAGAUGGUCGCCCCCUUGUGGUCGGUGUACAGGUGGUGCAUGGUUGUCGUCAGCUCGUGUCGUGAGAUGUUGGGUUAAGUCCCGCAACGAGCGCAACCCUCGUUCUAUGUUGCCAGCGGGUUAUGCCGGGGACUCAUAGGAGACUGCCGGGGUCAACUCGGAGGAAGGUGGGGAUGACGUCAAAUCAUCAUGCCCCUUAUGUCUUGGGCUUCACGCAUGCUACAAUGGCCGGUACAAAGGGCUGCGAUACCGUAAGGUGGAGCGAAUCCCAAAAAGCCGGUCUCAGUUCGGAUUGAGGUCUGCAACUCGACCUCAUGAAGUCGGAGUCGCUAGUAAUCGCAGAUCAGCAACGCUGCGGUGAAUACGUUCCCGGGCCUUGUACACACCGCCCGUCAAGUCAUGAAAGUCGGUAACACCCGAAGCCGGUGGCCUAACCCUUGUGGAAGAGCCGUCGA